This is a long non-coding RNA of Syzygium oleosum, 206 nucleotides long. RefSeq lists it as uncharacterized. NCBI's taxonomy places the organism in Eukaryota, Viridiplantae, Streptophyta, Magnoliopsida, Myrtales, Myrtaceae. The transcript is spliced from 2 exons. The record is from RefSeq and is a predicted model, not a curated record.
AUGAAGAAAGGCGUUCAAAUUUUGAAUGUUGCUCAUGGAGGAUUGAUUGACAAAGAUGCUCUAGUCAGGGCACUUGAUUCAGGAAUUGUGUCUCGGGCAGCUGUAGAUGUUUUGAUAGAGGAGCCGCCACCAAAAGACAACAAGCUGGUCCAACAUGAGUAAGUUAUCGUUACCCCAAAUCUUGGAGACUCUACUUUUGAAGGUCA